Nerophis lumbriciformis (worm pipefish) is the source of this 2825-nucleotide non-coding RNA. NCBI's taxonomy places the organism in Eukaryota, Metazoa, Chordata, Actinopteri, Syngnathiformes, Syngnathidae. The record is from RefSeq and is a predicted model, not a curated record.
CAGAGGGUCACAUUGUCUUGUAUAUACUAUUCUUGCUCAUUUAAACUGUAGUAAAUGUAUUAGCAUGCAUAUUAUUCUAUAUUUAAAAAAAGCCUUCAGCAUUACCAUAACACUUUAAAACUUCAUGCAGAUGUCUCUGAGAGAAAUCAAUCACUUCCAGCAGCUUUUUCAGGGCAUUGAAUCCAGGACAGCUCGAGUCUAGUCAAACUGCAGCUGUCCUAUCUAGUCUUUGAGCAUGAACUGAUGAAGCCUACUUGGAGAUGCGAAACGUCUUCUAAGACAACCUGAACGGCCCAGUUUCAUACAAUUAGCCAGAUGAAUAAAAACAUUCACAGGCUCCAGUCUGCAAAUUUGAAUGACACAGUAUACAUUGUGCAUAUUUUAGAAGUUGUUCUGCGGAGGAGAAUUCCUCAGAACCAAGGCUCAAUUACAAACAUUCAUAAUUUUACAGCUAUGAUUUUAAUUACACAAACUCAGCCAGGUUGAUGGACUGAAGCAAGAGAAAUUAUUUAUUUUUAAAUUCAGGUACUGUGUUAAUAUGUGAAAAGUUGAAUCUGACUGAAUUGAAAAUUAGUCUAGAUACCGUAUUUUCUGGACUAUAAAGCACUACUUUCCCCCCAUGCUUUGAACCCUACGGCUUAUAAAACUGUGUGACUAAUUUAUGGAUUCUUCUUUGCUAACGACCAUAACGUUUUGUAUUGAACAAACAGUUUUAAUUGAACAUAGACGGUGACAUUUAAAAGGUGUGUUAUUGUUUGUGCUAUGGCGCCAUAUUUUUGGACGCGUUUGCCCACCACAGGUGCUGCUGGUUGAAAAUGUACUUCCUGUUUCCUUCCUUGAACCGGAAGUAUUCGUCCAUAGCGGUUCUGCUCGAAAGGAUUCUUCAUUUAUCACGACAAGCAACGUUUUUUUCUAAACGUCACCGUAGAGUUAUUGAGUCUGUUUAGCUGAUUGGAGAGCGAGCUUCCAGCCAUUGGGUCCAUGUCGAUGACUUCUGUUUUGUUUAAUCACCAUUUGGAAACAAUUAAGGUCCUGUGACAUGCAACUUGUUAAAGUGGGCACUGGCCUCCCCGUGAAGCCUGUUCAACAGCCAGUGGCAGCAACAUUAAAGUAUCCAUUCAAGACUACAUUUGUUUUCAGUGUUGGCGAGCAACCCUCACAGUCUUCAUUCUUGAAAUGACUAAAUUCAGGGUAUGAUGUAAGGAGAAAAUCACUAAAGAGUGAAGAAGAAUGUGAUGCAUACUAGAUCAAUAUUUUGUCACCUUUAGAUUGCCUGUGUGCUUGUCAGACAUCCAUAUGGACCACUAUUACGUUGUCACAGAAUAUGUUCUAAUUAUCCAUGGACAGGAAAGGGUACCUUUCACAUUACCAAUAUGGUACCAAAUCCCGGUACCUGAGAAUCGAUACCAGUAGUUUUCAGUAAUUUUGAGUGUGUGUUUGAUAAAUGUUGAUUGUAUAACAAUAAAACCAUUUUUUAACAUUUAACACACAGUAUAGUGAUUGUGUUGUUCAGUUGUUAUCUCUAUAUUUAUUUCACUUUAAGUUCUGAGUCUCAUUAACAAGUAUUAUAUAGUAAACUUUGCAUGCAGUUGCAAUUCCAAGGUAUUAGAUAGCAGUAGUGUAUAGCUACGGUGUGUUGCCUAGCUAGGAUAUUGUCCUUGCCAUUAAGUUAAAUCUGCCAGUCUUGUCUUUUGUUGAGUCCUGCAAGGUGUUUAUAAUGUAAGUAUUGUACUUAUUACACACCAGUUGUUUGAUUGUAACAUGCAUCAUAGUUAUAGUUUUCAUUAUCCAAUUUAGAAGUAUUAAACUUGCCAUGUAAAAUUGCUAAUGCUAAUCAGUAGCAUAUGACACAGCAUCAAGCUAGCAUACUUUGGAAAGUGGGGCCUUUCCUUACGUUUAAGCAUUUUGCUUUGUUGGCAAUUGAAAACUGCAACAUUACUUAGAGGUAGUUCGGCUGAGUCUGCUCUGAGUGCUGCUUGAGUGCUUGUUUGCCUGCCAAGUGUUUGAGCCGGACAUCUGCAACCGGACGUGACAUCACGUGCCCUGAAGGUAUCAAAUUAUGGCAGUUUGAUUUUACAAGAAUCGAUACCCAGCAGUACUGACCGAAUUCUAUCUAUAAAAGUACUGGAUUCGGUACCCAUCCCUAUUUAUAACCACAAUUCCAAAAAAUUACUACCGUAUUUUUCGGACUAUAAGUCGCAGUUUUUUUCAUAGUUUGGCCGAGCUCCAGUGCGACUUAUAUAUAUUUUUUUCCUUCUUUAUUAUGCAUUUUCGGCAGGUGCGACUUAUAUUCCGGUGCGACUUAUACUCCGAAAAAUACGGUACAUCAUUUAUACCUCAUAUUUUACAAAGGAAAUUAAUAAGUUACAUUUAUGUAGAUCACACAGCUAUUGUUAGCAUUUACCCUUACAUGGGAACACAAUCCAUUUGAGGGGAGAAGAGGAGCACGGUGACCUAGUAAGCCGGUACUUAAUAUUUCCAGUGCUAAAAGAAUAGUGGGUGAUUAUUUAUUAUGUUUUCGUGGGUGAUUAUUUAUUAUGUUUUCUUGUGCAGAUUCUGGGAGAUUUGGGAACAAGCUUCCAGGAAAUACUUCUAACAUCUUGUGAGGUGAUUGGUUUGGUUGUUAUAUUGAUGAAAACAGUAUUUGUUUUUAAAUAAAUGUGUUUCCAAAUGAGAACUACUGCACUGUACUUGAGUUUUAUGUGUUGUGCUUCUUUCUCAAAUGGGGCUGUGCUCUCAGAACAAGCCUCAUGCUUACCUGCUGUUUUUGUAAAUCCUCAGAGUUAUUAAACUCUUCCUGUUCACACUGGAAUUAGCAGAACAUC